This 270-nucleotide unclassified non-coding RNA is filed under the name Hevea brasiliensis (rubber tree). The record is from RNAcentral. Lineage: Eukaryota; Viridiplantae; Streptophyta; Magnoliopsida; Malpighiales; Euphorbiaceae.
CAUAUGCCCUUUGACAAAACAAGUAAUGCAGGAUCCUGUUACUCUGGAAAAUGGCAUGACUUUUGAGAGGGAAGCUAUUGAGAAAUGGUUCAAGGAGUGUAGGGAUAGUGGAAGAAAGCCUGUUUGCCCUUUAACACAUAGAGAUCUGAAAAGCACAGAGCUGAAUCCAAGUAUAGCUCUACGAAAUACCAUUGAAGAAUGGAAUGCAAGGAAUGAAGCUGCACAAAUUGAUAUGGCUCGCAGAUCAUUAUCUAUGGGUAGUGCGGAGGG